This 425-nucleotide ribosomal RNA is filed under the name uncultured bacterium. RNAcentral describes it as "partial 16S ribosomal RNA". It matches the Rfam family "Bacterial small subunit ribosomal RNA", at positions 354 to 796 of the family's 1533-position model. The record is from RNAcentral.
GUGGGGAAUAUUGGACAAUGGGCGAAAGCCUGAUCCAGCAAUGCCGCGUGAGUGAUGAAGGCCCUAGGGUUGUAAAGCUCUUUUACCCGGGAUGAUAAUGACAGUACCGGGAGAAUAAGCUCCGGCUAACUUCGUGCCAGCAGCCGCGGUAAUACGAGGGGAGCUAGCGUUGUUCGGAAUUACUGGGCGUAAAGCGCGCGUAGGCGGUUUUUUAAGUCAGAGGUGAAAGCCCGGGGCUCAACCCCGGAAUAGCCUUUGAAACUGGAAAACUAGAAUCUUGGAGAGGUCAGUGGAAUUCCGAGUGUAGAGGUGAAAUUCGUAGAUAUUCGGAAGAACACCAGUGGCGAAGGCGACUGACUGGACAAGUAUUGACGCUGAGGUGCGAAAGCGUGGGGAGCAAACAGGAUUAGAAACCCUUGUAGUCC